UUUAAUAGUAUUGAGCCAUCCUAUACUACUAUAGAACCUAUUAUGCUAAAAUUAGUAACAUGAGGACCCCCCUCUCUAUGAUUCGAACAUAAGUCAGCUCGGACACACCACUGACAAUUAACGCCAGUGAACUAACAACGGCAACACAACAAGAAAACCCCGCUCACUCUCGCGUUAACCUAACACAAGUGAAUCUCAAGAAAGAUUUUAAAAAGCGGAAGGAACUCGGCAAACCUCAGCCCCGCCUGUUUACCAAAAACAUCGCCUCUUGCCCUAAUAAGAGGUCCCGCCUGCCCAGUGACCUAAUUCAACGGCCGCGGUAUCCUGACCGUGCGAAGGUAGCGUAAUCACUUGUUCCUUAAAUAGGGACUAGUAUGAAUGGCACCACGAAGGCUGCACUGUCUCCCGCCUUUAAUCAGUGAAAUUAAUCUCCCCGUGAAGAAGCGGGGAUAACACCAUAAGACGAGAAGACCCCAUGGAGCUUUAAACUCAAGGACACCUGCUAACACCACCUCAAGUCAAGCAUCUUGAUCCUACGUUUUCGGUUGGGGCGACCGCGGAGAACAACUUACCCUCCAUGCUGAAAGAUUUUAUCUUAGCCAAAACAACCCCUUUAAGCAUCAGAACCCUGACAUCCAUUGACCCAAUAUAUUUGAUCAACGAACCAAGUUACCCUGGGGAUAACAGCGCAAUCCACUUCAAGAGCCCCUAUCGACAAGUGGGUUUACGACCUCGAUGUUGG
RNAcentral lists this ribosomal RNA (742 nucleotides) under Uperoleia micra (tiny toadlet). Its description in RNAcentral is "partial 16S ribosomal RNA". It matches the Rfam family "Bacterial large subunit ribosomal RNA", at positions 1251 to 2535 of the family's 2925-position model. Lineage: Eukaryota; Metazoa; Chordata; Amphibia; Anura; Myobatrachidae. The record is from RNAcentral.